GAGAAGUUAGUUAAAUUAUAACAUUGUCUUGUCAAGACAAAAUUACUAGUUAAACCCCUGUACCUCUCU
RNAcentral lists this transfer RNA (69 nucleotides) under Amolops wuyiensis (Sanchiang sucker frog). RNAcentral's name for it is "tRNA-Asp". It matches the Rfam family "tRNA". Rfam says of the family: Transfer RNA (tRNA) molecules are approximately 80 nucleotides in length. Their secondary structure includes four short double-helical elements and three loops (D, anti-codon, and T loops). The record is from RNAcentral. Lineage: Eukaryota; Metazoa; Chordata; Amphibia; Anura; Ranidae.